GAUGAACGCUGGCGGCGUGCUUAACACAUGCAAGUCGAACGGUGAAGCUCCAGCUUGCUGGAGUGGAUCAGUGGCGAACGGGUGAGUAACACGUGAGCAACCUGCCCCUGACUCUGGGAUAACAGCCGGAAACGGCUGCUAAUACCGGAUAUGCACCAUGAACGCAUGUUCUGUGGUGGGAAAGAUUUUUCGGUUGGGGAUGGGCUCGCGGCCUAUCAGCUUGUUGGUGAGGUAAUGGCUCACCAAGGCGUCGACGGGUAGCCAGCCUGAGAGGGUGACCGGCCACACUGGGACUGAGACACGGCCCAGACUCCUACGGGAGGCAGCAGUGGGGAAUAUUGCACAAUGGGCGAAAGCCUGAUGCAGCAACGCCGCGUGAGGGAUGACGGCCUUCGGGUUGUAAACCUCUUUUAGCAGGGAAGAAGCGAGAGUGACGGUACCUGCAGAAAAAGCGCCGGCUAACUACGUG
Molecule: ribosomal RNA, 469 nt
Filed under: uncultured bacterium
Lineage: Bacteria
Description: partial 16S ribosomal RNA
Rfam family: Bacterial small subunit ribosomal RNA
Source: RNAcentral